GACGAACGCUGGCGGCGUGCUUAACACAUGCAAGUCGAACGGAAAGGCCCUGCUUUUGUGGGGUGCUCGAGUGGCGAACGGGUGAGUAACACGCGAGGAACCUGCCCUUGACAGUGGGAUAACUUCAGGAAACUGGGGCUAAUACCGGAGAGGAGCUCCUGCUGCAUGGGGGGGGUUGGAAAGUUUCGGUGGUUGGGGAUGGUCUCGCGGCUUAUCAGCUUGUUGGGGGGGUAGUGGCUGACCAAGGCUUUGACGGGUAGCCGGCCUGGGAGGGUGACCGGCCACCUUGGGCCUGCGAUACGGCCCAGUCUCCUACGGGAGGCAGCAGUGGGGAAUAUUGCACAAUGGGCGGAAGCCUGAUGCAGCAACGCCGCGUGCGGGAUGACGGCCUUCGGGUUGUAAACCGCUUUCGCCUGUGCCGAAGCGUGAGUGACGGUACUGGGUAAAAAAGCACCGGCUAACUACGUG
RNAcentral lists this ribosomal RNA (468 nucleotides) under uncultured bacterium. Its description in RNAcentral is "partial 16S ribosomal RNA". It matches the Rfam family "Bacterial small subunit ribosomal RNA", at positions 28 to 507 of the family's 1533-position model. The record is from RNAcentral.